This 314-nucleotide long non-coding RNA is filed under the name Dasypus novemcinctus (nine-banded armadillo). Its description in RNAcentral is "lncRNA (ENSDNOG00000051297.1)". Lineage: Eukaryota; Metazoa; Chordata; Mammalia; Cingulata; Dasypodidae. The record is from RNAcentral.
AGCAGAGGGACUGUUCCAAAGGAGGCUGAUUUGUUUCCUGAGUUUUCAGAUUUCACAGCUGAGAGUCACUCCUCAGGAUUCAGGGAGCCAUUCAUCUCUUUACCUUCAACAUACAACCUGCAAUUGAUCUCUGCAGUUUACCAUCCACAAUCCCCUUUGCUCUUCUGUUCCUAAAGCUACCCACCUCUGAAGCCCAGGUUAAGCUGCAAGUCUUCCAUGAAGCCUUCGCUGGUGAUUCCUGCCAACUCCUCUCUCCUUACUGGAUUUUGUCAGUCAGUCCCAGACAAUAAAUAGUUUACUAAAUAUGCUGCCUC